This 2273-nucleotide long non-coding RNA is filed under the name Sorghum bicolor (sorghum). RNAcentral's name for it is "long non-coding RNA (SBIC_LNC013940)". Lineage: Eukaryota; Viridiplantae; Streptophyta; Magnoliopsida; Poales; Poaceae. The record is from RNAcentral.
UAUGAUCAAUAUCAUAUUUCAUUCUUACAUGUGCAUGAUCACGCUUUCGAGAAGCGAAAUCAGCGUCAGAUUCAUCUUCACCUCCCACCGGUUCCUCUGGGACAAUGGGACACGGUGAAGUGAUGGCGUAGCCAAUCUCAUUCAACGCAAAUUCCAAUUCGUAUUUCUCCCGCCACACAUGAUAGUUGGUGCCAUUGAGCAGUGGGAUGUUUGCUAUGUUCACAUUGCUUUUGACUCCUGAAAUUACAUUAGAGUGGGUGAUAAAACAUUAUUUGAAUUAAAAUACACAUAUAUUCAUUAAUGCAAAACUUUUACAUCACCGUUGGGCAAAAAUAAAAUUAAUGCAUAAUUCUGUAAGACUGCUAUUAACAACUUUGGUCAGAAAAUAACAAUAUUACAAUAUCAUAAAAAUUUAUCACAAUUAAAUUCUCCCGUUGGAUCGAAUUUAAUAGUGAUGAAUAGCAUCAAAAUAUGCAGCGGAAAAAUUCAUAAAUUUUCAUCAUAGCAUUUUCCAGAAACCCAAAUAUUCUUUGCUGUUUUCUGAACAAGCAUCAUCUUUGGAUAAAUUUUGUGCAGAAAAUAGCAUUAAAUUCUAUGAAAGGGUGGUUCACUAUUCUUUUGGCCAUUUCGGCCAAUGAGCUCCCUCCGGCCCCUUGCGUGAGGGAGUCAACAAGCCAGCGGCCCAGCAAGGCAGGCCUGCGCAGGCUGAUUUCAUUUUUUUUUUCAUUUACAUUUUUUUUGAGAAUCUUUUUCAUUUUCAUUUGUUCAUUCUUGGCUUCGGCCUAGUUCCUUUUUUGGCCCAAGGACGCAAGCAGACUCCUCCCCGCCCCAGGCCACAACCUAGGUCUGGACCGGGAUUUGGCGAACCCGCCUAGGCCAAAAGAGGCCUAGUCCCGUGUUCGCCAAUCUUGUUCGUUGAUUUUGAUCCAACGGUUCUCCAUCAAUUUCACAGGGAUAAAAACCCUUGGCCAUGCAGCCUAAAACACUGGUACAGGACAGACCUUUUGUCUCGGUCGAAAACCACCUGUAGUCCCGGGUGGCGAGCCGGGACAAAAGGAUCGGGACUAAAAGUCCCACCUUUAGUCCCGGCUCUCCGACCCGGGACUAAAUGGGGACAUUUAGUCCCGGUUGGUAACACCAACCGGGACUACAUGGGGCACCAGGCAGUGACGUGGCGCCACCCCUGGCCACCCCUUUUAGUCCCGGUUGGUAUUACCAACCGGGACUAAAGGUUUUUUUGUUUUUGUUUUUCUUUUUCCAUUUCAUUUCUUUAUUGAUUUUGGUUUUCAAUUGUAUAUGUUCUACAAUUUAAUCGUAUACGUCGCAAUUAUCCGUAUACGUUGCACCUAUACGAGAGCGUCAUUAUUGCACACAAAUAAAGUAUGAAACUACAUAUAUAAAUUAUCCGUAUAAUAUAUAAAUCUAUAUAUAUUAUAUAGCUAUAAACAUACGUACAUACACAUUACAUUUAGAAUAAUAAUAUUAUGUACAAGUAAUAAUCAAGUGUGCUGCCACCGGUUAAUGAUUACAUAAUGUUUGCCCGCCCACUUGAAAGCCCAAGUUUGGUUUUGGUAAUUAAUGACACCAUGUUGCUAAUGCCUUGUAUUUAAGUGACUUGAGAUAGGCAUAGCAACACAUGUGAUGAAGGUGCAUGGUGGCAUGAAAAGGUGGCCACAUGAUCACAAAGGGAUGAAGGAUGAUGUGAAGAUCAUGGUGAUAGACGAGGAGCAAAGUUAUAAAGGCAAAGGUAUAAACAUAGGGUUUUACUUUUGCCGGUCUAAGAUGAGUAGAGAAGUGAUUGACCGGGUUUAGGAUAGAUAGCCGACUAUCAAGAGGGGAAAUCACGGUCAUCUCUCGAAUCAAGUGCUACUAGGUCCAUAUCUUGAGCAUAUGCAUUAGGAUCUAGUGAAGUGCUAACUUAACUCCUUUGGAAAAAGUUUGAGAAAAGCUAACACACAUGCACUUUGGUGGUGGACACGUGUUGGUGUUAGCACAUUUACAAAGGAGGUGGAGUUCCUAGGGUUGAGAGGGGUUUGGGUUCCUAGGGUUGAGAGAGAUUCGGCGCUUUUGAGAAAAAUAAGUGUAUAUUUUCUAUUGCGCCGGUGGGAAAUUUGGAGAAGUCGCGGGAGUGUUUUCUCACUGAGAAACACUCACCGGACGCUGAGUGCGGAGGCACCGGACGCUGGCCUCAGAGUCCGGUGUGCUUGACCCUGCUAGGGUGGAGCACCGGACGCACUCUGAGAGCGUCCGGUGGUUAGCGUCUGGUGUGCGGG